CGGCAGCUUACACAUGCAAGUCGAGCGGUAACAGGGGGUGCUUGCACCCCGCUGACGAGCGGCGGACGGGUGAGUAAUGCAUAGGAAUCUGCCCAGUAGUGGGGGAUAGCCCGGGGAAACCCGGAUUAAUACCGCAUACGCCCUUUGGGGGAAAGCAGGGGAUCUUCGGACCUUGCGCUAUUGGAUGAGCCUAUGUCGGAUUAGCUAGUUGGUGGGGUAAAGGCCUACCAAGGCGACGAUCCGUAGCUGGUCUGAGAGGAUGAUCAGCCACAUCGGGACUGAGACACGGCCCGAACUCCUACGGGAGGCAGCAGUGGGGAAUAUUGGACAAUGGGGGCAACCCUGAUCCAGCCAUGCCGCGUGUGUGAAGAAGGCUUUCGGGUUGUAAAGCACUUUCAGUGAGGAGGAAAACCUUCUGGUUAAUACCCAUGAGGCUUGACGUUACUCACAGAAGAAGCACCGGCUAACUCCGUGCCAGCAGCCGCGGUAAUACGGAGGGUGCAAGCGUUAAUCGGAAUUACUGGGCGUAAAGCGCGCGUAGGUGGUUUGAUAAGCGAGAUGUGAAAGCCCCGGGCUUAACCUGGGAACGGCAUUU
RNAcentral lists this ribosomal RNA (595 nucleotides) under Marinobacter sp. RNAcentral describes it as "bacterial SSU rRNA". It matches the Rfam family "Bacterial small subunit ribosomal RNA", at positions 40 to 628 of the family's 1533-position model. The record is from RNAcentral. Lineage: Bacteria; Pseudomonadati; Pseudomonadota; Gammaproteobacteria; Pseudomonadales; Marinobacteraceae.